Ailuropoda melanoleuca (giant panda) is the source of this 1532-nucleotide long non-coding RNA. RefSeq lists it as uncharacterized. The transcript has 4 exons. NCBI's taxonomy places the organism in Eukaryota, Metazoa, Chordata, Mammalia, Carnivora, Ursidae. The record is from RefSeq and is a predicted model, not a curated record.
GUGGAGAUUGAACUCAUGACCCUGAGAUCAAGAGUCGCAUGCUCUACUGACUGAGCCAGCCAGGUAUUAGAAAAGGAUAAAACUCACACGUGAGAGCCACAGGACUAAAGUGGGUAUUUAACUUACUACGAUAAAAGUUAAUCAAUUGAAAGAACAUGGCACAAGAGCUGCAGACAGUCUGAGGAUGACUGAAGUUUGGAAAAUCCCAAAUUAGAUGAUAGUAGAAUCACUCAAUCAGUCAAGAGUGCCUUCAGCUGGGUUCGGUGGAGUCCAAGGGUGAACCACCUCUUUGUGAUUCUUCUGACCUUCUCCUCAUGGUCCCAUGAUGGCUGUUGUAACUCUAGCUCGCACAACCAAAAGGAAGAAAAAGGAAGAGGUGGCACCCAGCAGCAUCUUUCCCUUUUGUCAGGAAAAGCCAGAGCUUUCCUAGAGUUCCCAGCAGUCUUCUCCUUAAGCGUCUGCCAGAGCCACAUAUGGGGCCACUGCUGUGGAGGCUGGGAGCGUGGACAACAGGCCGGCGUAAUUGCCUUUGACCAUCUUCGUCAAGCUGAGCUCCUUAUAGUGAGGAAGGGAGGACUGGGUAGUGGGUUAGAAAAGUGCCGAGUGCAGAGAGAAGCAGAUGCGGCAGGCCAUGUGGCCCUGGAGAGAAUGCCACGUUUAACAUGGUUGGAAGCUGUGAGAUAUUCAAGUUACGGAUUUGUGUGAGAAGCACAAGAGAAAAUGAGCGCAUCUGGGAGCUAUUGCUCUCCCCCUUCUCACGCCAUCAUCUCUCCUUGGGUGACCUUCGCGGCAGGAACUCCUACCACGACCCAGACUGAAUUGGCUAUCAAGAUGGUGAUUCAUCUGGCCAAGCAGAAGUCAUUAUCCCCUCUCCCUAAACUUCACCUUUCCUCUGCGUUCCCUAUCUCAGUCAACGGUACAGCCAUCUACACAGUCAUGCCCGGAAGUCACCACCCCCACAGGCAACCGCUUGCCACAUUAUUUAAGAUUAAUCAGGCUGUAAUAUGCCUGGUCUCCUCUUCCCUCAAUGUCUCAGUUCUGGCCUUAACCUCCUUUUGGAGGGCAGUGGACACCAUCUCCUGGACUCACUGUUUUCUAAGCUUGUUAGAAACCUGGGGUGCUUGUUAAUUAUCUGGAUUCUCAGGCCCUUCUCCUACACUCUGACUGAAUAGGCCUGACGUGGGGACCUGGAAUCCGUGUGCUUAACAAUGAUCGCCAUCAGUUUGGCUGAGCAGUGGGCAGCCCUGGUAGAGGGCUGGUUUCCCUGCCUCAGGGCGCUUUGCGGUCAAUUGAGCCCUCCUCGCUGUAGAAAGAGCUUCCUAAGAGCUUCCUAAAAUGGGCCGGAAGCUCUUAAUCCGCAGCACAAAACCCAAACCUGCCGCAAGCCGAAUGGGGCAUGAUUUAGCCACCACGUCCCUCUUCAGUCUUCUCUCCUGCCUUCCCUGGGCUCUACUUCCUUCCUUCCUUCCUUCCUUCCUUCCUUCCUUCCUUCCUUCCUUCCUUCCUUCCUUCCUUCCUUCCUUUCUUCCUUC